RNAcentral lists this ribosomal RNA (988 nucleotides) under Oenococcus oeni. RNAcentral describes it as "bacterial LSU rRNA". It matches the Rfam family "Bacterial large subunit ribosomal RNA", at positions 1937 to 2925 of the family's 2925-position model. The record is from RNAcentral. Lineage: Bacteria; Bacillati; Bacillota; Bacilli; Lactobacillales; Lactobacillaceae.
UAACUAUAACGGUCCUAAGGUAGCGAAAUUCCUUGUCGGGUAAGUUCCGACCCGCAUGAAAGGCGUAAUGAUUUGGGCGCUGUCUCAACAAUAGACUCGGUGAAAUUUAAAUUCCAGUGAAGAUGCUGGGUACCCGCGACAGGACGGAAAGACCCCGUGGAGCUUUACUGUAGCUUGAUAUUGAAUGUUUGUGCUGCAUGUGCAGGAUAGGUAGGAGACUUUGAAGUCGGAACGCUAGUUUCGAUUGAGUCACCCUUGAGAUACUACCUCUGUUGUAUGAACGUUCUAACUCUGAUCAGUUAUCCUGAUCGAAGACAGUGUCUGGCAGGCAGUUUGACUGGGGCGGUCGCCUCCUAAAAGAUAACGGAGGCGCUCAAAGGUUUGCUCAGAAUGGUUGGAAAUCAUUCGUAGCGUGUAAAGGCAUAAGCAAGCUUGACUGUGAGACUGACAAGUCGAGCAGGUACGAAAGUAGGACUUAGUGAUCCGGUGGUUCCGUAUGGAAGGGCCAUCGCUCAACGGACAAAAGCUACCCCGGGGAUAACAGGCUCAUCUCCCCCAAGAGUCCACAUCGACGGGGAGGUUUGGCACCUCGAUGUCGGCUCAUCGCAUCCUGGGGCUGUAGUCGGUCCCAAGGGUUGGGCUGUUCGCCCAUUAAAGCGGUACGCGAGCUGGGUUCAGAACGUCGUGAGACAGUUCGGUCCCUAUCCGUCGUGGGCGCAGGAAAUUUGAGAGGAUCUGUCCUUAGUACGAGAGGACCGGGAUGGACAUACCUCUGGUGUACCAGUUGUUCUGCCAAGAGCACCGCUGGGUAGCUACGUAUGGAUUAGAUAAUCGCUGAAAGCAUCUAAGUGAGAAACUAACCUCGAGAUGAGAUUUCCCAUUCGUCAGAAGUAAGACCCCUGAGAGACGAUCAGGUAGAUAGGCUAGAAGUGGAAGUGUAGUGAUGCAUGGAGCGGACUAGUACUAAUAGGUCGAGGACUUAACCAAG